CCUCCUGUUCUGUUCCCCACUCUGUCUCUGGUGAAUCCUCUCACCACCCCCCCACACCCCUGGCCUGUACCCCAGCUCUUGUACGCAGAAAUAAAUCUUUAAAAAAAAAGAAGUUUCUAGGGAAGUGCUGGGUUUUGAGGGCCAUUUCAACCACGAGUGGAAAGGUGGCGGAUUCUUUUCCUGCUUUGGGAUUCAGUUCCCCCCACCCUGUAAGACGGGAGAGGGAGACCACAAGAAACUCAGGACUCUGUUUUGAGAAUUGCUUGCGUUUCCGGACACAGUUUUAUUAAAGCCGAAUCUGAAGCCCUGCACAAAGGUUCCCACUCAGGAGCAAUGCAUGUUUGCCUGUGAGCUACACUCGGAAUGCCAGAGGGAUCAGCACUGCUGCACUGCCUCCUGCGGGAAUGUCUGCAUGCUUCUCAGAGAAACGGAGAAUAAAAUCAGAAGCUUGAGUCCAAAGUUGAACCCUUAAACCACCACAGAGAGUUGGAGCAUCCCUGGAGGCUGGACAGAGUGGGACCUGGCCUCCUGCAGGACCACCUCUCACCCCGGCUGUGGGGGCCGAGUGGAUGUCUCUCCUAUCUGCCCACCCUCUUCCCUGAGCUAUGAUGUGAUCAAAUAAGCUGUGAUAAUAACCCAGGAACUUUUUCUUUUUCUAGAGUCCCAGGGUCAUUUGCUGCACACCACCCUUUUCCUAAACUCCCAGCCCCUGCCUCCUGGUUUGAACCUCCCUGCCUUCUAUUUCUUUGGGGGCUUCACCUACUUAGCUGGGACUCCUGUUCAUUGAGUGACACCCUGGGGAAACCUGCUUCUGUGUGGGAUGUUCUUAAAGCUAUGGAAACACUGUCUCUCUGGGAUUUCCAUAAAUUAGUGCAGCCUCUCUCCCAUGGUCUCAG
This is a long non-coding RNA of Talpa occidentalis (Iberian mole), 896 nucleotides long. RefSeq lists it as uncharacterized. The transcript is spliced from 3 exons. The record is from RefSeq and is a predicted model, not a curated record. Lineage: Eukaryota; Metazoa; Chordata; Mammalia; Eulipotyphla; Talpidae.